UUUGGGCUCAUUAGAUAGAUCCUUUUCUCUAGGUGACAAAGACGUCUGACUAAAAGCGUGUUUUUAGGCUUUUACUAUGAUUUUAUUGUCCCGAUAUUCUCUUUGCUUAGGUCAGAAUACUACCAUCUUAGAGCGUGAGAAUCAAACUCCUUUGUCCAUUGUAUCUAACGAUAAGUUUCCGUGUCAAAACAAUCAUUGUUGAUUUCAAAAAUCCUAAGGCGAUUUCAUUAUGUUGAAGAAAUUAAGUGUUCCCCAAGGUGACGUACUUUCCCCUGUUUUUUUCUGCAUCUUCAUUAAUACCGUUGCCAAGGUCAUUUCUUCUAAUUUCCAUCUCUAUGCGGACGAUUUGCAGCUGUAUCGUUACAUCAGCAUGUCUGAGGCUCGUUCUGCUAUCGAUGCCAUGAAUCGUGACUUGGAUGGAUUUGCCGACUGGGCCAAGUGUUUUGGGCUGCAAAUCAAACCUUUUAAGUCUCAAGCCAUGAUCAUCGGUAGCAGAUUUUGUUUCCUCGUGCUGUUCCUUAAAUAUUAAUAAGAUAAUGAUUAUAAACUAGGCAGUAAUGAGAAUGAACAAUAGUAUUGCAAAUGGUUUUUUCGUAUUAAGAGUUGUCAUUGAAAACUCAGCCUUAGUUCACGAUACGCGCUCUGUCAAUUUUCCAACUUACUCAGAUUGAAUUGAAUAAUUCAUCGUAGUUGAUUGUAGUGUGAAUAUCCUACCACACAAACGUUUCUUCUAAGAAUUUCGCCAAAAGAAAAAAUGGUAUUUGCUUGGAUAUUGCUAGCAAGUAUGUUGCUUUACGCAAUUUUUUGGGGAGCAAUGUACUCAAAAAGACAUGAAACCAACACCACCGAAGCUAACAGUACCAACAGUACCAAUGU
This is a long non-coding RNA of Spodoptera frugiperda (fall armyworm), 876 nucleotides long. RefSeq lists it as uncharacterized. Lineage: Eukaryota; Metazoa; Arthropoda; Insecta; Lepidoptera; Noctuidae. The transcript is spliced from 2 exons. The record is from RefSeq and is a predicted model, not a curated record.